CCUUGGGAUGAGCCUGCGUCUGAUUAGGUAGUUGGCGGAGUAAUAGCCCACCAAGCCUACGAUCAGUAGCUGGUCUGAGAGGAUGAUCAGCCACACUGGAACUGAGACACGGUCCAGACUCCUACGGGAGGCAGCAGUAAGGAAUAUUGCUCAAUGGGGGAAACCCGUGAAGCAGCAACGCCGCGUGAAGGAUGAAAUACUUUUGUAUGUAAACUUCUGUAAGAUGGGAAAAAUAUUCUCCUCGGGAGAAUUGAUUGUACCAUCAGAGUAAGCCCCGGCUAACUACGUG
This 289-nucleotide ribosomal RNA is filed under the name uncultured bacterium. RNAcentral describes it as "partial 16S ribosomal RNA". It matches the Rfam family "Bacterial small subunit ribosomal RNA", at positions 218 to 507 of the family's 1533-position model. The record is from RNAcentral.